Molecule: long non-coding RNA, 755 nt
Filed under: Helianthus annuus (common sunflower)
Lineage: Eukaryota; Viridiplantae; Streptophyta; Magnoliopsida; Asterales; Asteraceae
Description: hypothetical non coding rna
Source: RNAcentral
UUCACAUUUUGAGGCUUCAACAGUUUCAUCUAUCAACAAUCUUGAAGAUUCAGAAGGGCAAAUGAGGCAAUAAAGUUUCAAUCUUGGUGAGUCUUUCAUUUCAAGCCCUAACCCUAGAUUCCCCCAAAUCAAAUUGAUUGAUACCUUCAUACCCAUUGAAGAAAAGAUUAAGCAUAUGUAUGCAAGACCCAGAACAAGCUCUCAAGAAUGAUAUUAUUAUCAAAAUGAGGUUUAAUUCUCUCUCAAAUUCAAUUUCAAAUUCAAAUUUAAACACACCCCCUUUCUGAACCUGAUGAAACCCUAACUCUAGAUAGAAAUAGCCCCAUUUUCGUAGCUCAAGAUUACACCCUUUUGGUUUCAGAUCAGGUUUUGACUGGAAUACCCUCAAAUCUUACAAAAAGUCAGCAACUUUCUAGCUGUUUAGUUUGUAAAAGGUGGUUAAAGAUUAGUGGUGGUUUAGUUAAGUCAUUGAGAUUAUUGGAUUGGGAUUUUCUUGAUUUGGGUCGACUCGGUUUUCGUUUUCCUAAUCUUAUUGAUGUUGAUAUUUAAUAAAUUCGUGGCGAUGGUGGCGGGAGUAUAGAGGUCAGUGGUGAUGGUGAUGAUGUCGGUGGUCGAUAGUGUAGGUGGUGGUGGCCUGAUGAGGAUGGUUGUAGAAGUGGGUUGUAGAGAGAGAGUACAGGGGAGAUGAUGAUGGUUUAGAUUUAUAAUUUUUAAAUUUUGACAUUCUUUUAUUUUGUAUUAAAUGACUGUUUUGC